UGGGUAGACAAGGCAAUCGCUCAUACUCUGUAUGAGAGGAAAGUCCGGACUCCUAACGAAACGGUACCUUGGAAGGUUAACACCAAUCAAGGGGGGCGAAAUCCCAUGGAUCAGUGCCGCAGAAAAUAACCGCCACAUACAUUGUAUGGGGUAAGGGUGAAAACGGGUGGUAAGAGCACCCGACAGUAUUGCAGUAAUGCAUACUGGGGGUAAACCCUACCGGGAGCAAGACAAAGUAGGUACGUGUCGGCCUUCGUUCUGGUUAAACGUACGGGUAUGUCGCAUAGAUAAAUGGUUGCCACUUUCAUUGAAAGCACAGAAUCCGGCUUAUCGUCUACCCAUUCU
This 345-nucleotide RNase P RNA is filed under the name bacterium. RNAcentral describes it as "RNase P RNA component class A". It matches the Rfam family "Bacterial RNase P class A". From Rfam's summary of the family: Ribonuclease P (RNase P) is a ubiquitous endoribonuclease, found in archaea, bacteria and eukarya as well as chloroplasts and mitochondria. Its best characterised activity is the generation of mature 5'-ends of tRNAs by cleaving the 5'-leader elements of precursor-tRNAs. Cellular RNase Ps are ribonucleoproteins. The record is from RNAcentral.